RNAcentral lists this transfer RNA (71 nucleotides) under Golovinomyces cichoracearum. It matches the Rfam family "tRNA". From Rfam's summary of the family: Transfer RNA (tRNA) molecules are approximately 80 nucleotides in length. Their secondary structure includes four short double-helical elements and three loops (D, anti-codon, and T loops). Lineage: Eukaryota; Fungi; Ascomycota; Leotiomycetes; Helotiales; Erysiphaceae. The record is from Rfam by way of RNAcentral. RNAcentral also lists the same sequence under 1 other name.
UGCGGGUUGGUGUAAUAGUAACAUAAAUGGCUCAUGUCCAUUAGAUGAAAGUGCGAUUCUUUUGCCCGUUU